UGUUCUAGGAUUGUAGAUUCAUUUUUGUCACUUCAGACCUUUACCAGUUUUGCUAAAAGGAGUUGUGAUUUCUUCUCUGGGUGCCUCAGUACACAGAACCAGGAAACUGAUUGCAGCCAAGAGAAUAUGAUUUACAGAUACAGUGGAUUUACACAAAGAGCUAUCAAGUUAGAAAAAAAAAAAAAAAUAUAUCCAGCAAAAGAGGGUACACCAGACCUGGUUUAUUACCAUAGAUGACCACAGAAGACAUUGACGAUUCCUUUCCACCAUUGGUCAAAAUGUUCUUGCUGCAUCCUCUUCGACUCCAGUAUAGGUAAAGACUGGGUCAAGAAUUUUCUUUCUUUUUUUUUUUUUUGAGACUGAGUCUCGCUCUGUCGCCCAGGCUGGAGUGCUGUGGCGCGAUCUCAGCUCACUGCAAGCUCCGCCUCCCGGGUUCCCGCCAUUCUCCUGCCUCAACCUCCCGCGUAGCUGGGAUUACAGGCGCCCGCAACCACGCCCGGCUAAUUUUCUGUAUUUUUAGUAGAGACGGGGUUUCACCGUGUUAGCCAGGAUGGUCUGGAUAUUUUUAUAUUAUUCUUAGGUAGUGCCUUUGCUGUAAGCCAGGGGAGAUUAGAUAUUUGGUUGCUAUUUUUGUAAACUUGAGCAUGGUUCAUAUACUCACCUUAACAGUCAAUAAAAUCUCUAUAGAAAUGAUCUGAGUCAUUUUUGCUUAUCAAUAUUUCUUGAGACUUAAAAAAUCACUUCUAGUGAAGUUUUAUAAGAUACUAUUUUAUAGAAAAAUCUAUAAAAAGAUGGUUUAGACAUAGAGAAGAAGUGUCCAACUUUUCAAUGUUGAUACUUCAAAGGACUUAAAGAAGCAUUUAAAUGACCCAGCUUUUAAAAUAUAUAUAUAGAUAAAUAGUGAGAAAAUAUAAUUUAUUUACAGGCAUGCUAUUAGUUGGGUCCAACCAGCAUUCCAGUCUAUAGCUACUAGGCUUAAAUUGAGCUAUUUGCCAUUUCUAAAUUCAUUUUAAUCAUUUUCUCUAUAGUAUGAAUACUUUACAGUAUUUAUAAGCCAUUAUAACAGCACAUUCUACAAUGGGCAAAAAGAUAAUGUGUUCAAUUAUGUUCGACGAUAUCAAUCUUUGUUCCUUUAAAGGUGUUACUUUAAGUCAAUUUAUCAAAAUAUGAUUUUAUUAUUUCUCAGGAAAACUCAUAGGCACAUUUACAUUUUAUAAUAAAUUAUCCUUCAAAUUAUCAACUUUAUCAUGUUAGAGAUUGUUUCCAUAUAUUAAACCUCUAUUACAAUUGUAAAACUUCUAAAGGACUAUUUCAUGUGUUAUAAAAUAUUUUUGCUGAAAUAACUAUACAGUAAUGCCUUCCCUGAUUUUGAGAAUUCUGGUAAUAGAUUGAAAUUCAAAUGAUUUAUAGCAAUAUGUUCUAAUUUACAGUUAUCCAUCAACAGCUCCAAAUGAAAUAUAAAUUACUAAGAUAUUCUAUCAAAUAUAAUGCUUGAACUUGAAUUUAAGCACACUUAUAUUUAAUAUUCAAUGAAUCAUCACUCAGUGUAAUUUAUCUGAAAUGCUAAAUUUG
This 1572-nucleotide long non-coding RNA is filed under the name Macaca mulatta (Rhesus monkey). RNAcentral describes it as "lncRNA (ENSMMUG00000057061.1)". The record is from RNAcentral. Lineage: Eukaryota; Metazoa; Chordata; Mammalia; Primates; Cercopithecidae.